Molecule: ribosomal RNA, 442 nt
Filed under: uncultured bacterium
Lineage: Bacteria
Description: partial 16S ribosomal RNA
Rfam family: Bacterial small subunit ribosomal RNA
Source: RNAcentral
CCUACGGGAGGCAGCAGUGGGGGAUAUUGCACAAUGGGGGAAACCCUGAUGCAGCGACGCCGCGUGGGCGAAGAAGUAUUUCGGUAUGUAAAGCCCUAUCAGCAGGGAAGAAGAAAUGACGGUACCUGAGUUAGAAGCACUGGCUAAAUCCGCGCCAGCAGCCGCGGUAAUACGUAGGGCGCAAGCGUUAUCCGGAUUUACUGGGUGGAAAGGGAGCGCAGGCGGCACGGCAAGCCUGAUGUGAAAGCCCGCGGCCCAACCGCGGGACUGCAUUUGGAACUACCGGGCUGGAGUGCCGGAGAGGUAGGCGGAAUUCCUAGUGUAGCGGUGAAAUGCGUAGAUAUUAGGAGGAACACCAGUGGCGAAGGUGGCCUACUGGACGGUGACUGACGCUGAGGCUCGAAAGCGUGGGGAGCAAACAGGAUUAGAUACCCUUGUAGUC